This 3201-nucleotide long non-coding RNA is filed under the name Homo sapiens (human). RNAcentral's name for it is "HSALNT0200084". Lineage: Eukaryota; Metazoa; Chordata; Mammalia; Primates; Hominidae. The record is from RNAcentral.
GUAGGUUAGUCAUAAAGCCACAUUCACUCUCUUGCUUUCUCUGUCGCAUGCACUCUCUUGCCCUUCCACCUAGUUUCCAUGUUAUGAUGCAGCAAGAAGGCCCUUGCCAGAUGUGGCUCCUGGAUUGUGGACUUUUCAGCCCCCAGAACUGUGAGCCAAACAAACUUCUUUUGUUCAUAACUUCCCCAGUCUGUGAUAUCCUGUUACAGCAGCAGAAAAUGGACUAAGACACCCAGGGAUGUACCUGGAACCUGGAAAAAGGGGCAGAUCUGCAUCACGGGCUUGCAUGUCCAAUUUCACCUUGGCACUUGCUUCUCCGAGGGUCUGGACAUGGGGCUUCGUUUGAGUCUGGAAGCAGUGGAGAGGGGCCAGAAGCUCCAGGCCUUGGCUUGGAGAUCUCUACAGGAAAGGAGGCACUGAGGGACUCACAUGAAGCUACUCUGUCAGCAUUCUAAAACUUCUGACAUUCUUUUCUAUGAAGAUAAUUGAAUCACCAAAUUUGAUGAAAUGUUCCCCAAAUAUCAGGUGAAAAAAACUCAUCUAAACCUUUGGACUUGGAAUUGCCCACAUAGACCACAUCAGCAAUGGAAGACAGAGCAAAUAACAUGUCGGUUCAAUGUAUGAAGGAGCUUUUCUUUCCCCUGCCCCAACCCUCAGACAGAACACCAGAGAAAGACUCUCCUUACCAUCCUCACUGCAACUAAACUUCGGGACCCUGGGCUUUGGGUUCAUGGUCUCGCCACUGAAAAGGUUCCCUCCACACUUUUGGAAUUGUGCACCCAUUGGAACCCUUGAGGUAAAGCUAACCAGAGAAAUUUCUCCCAAGAAGAAGAAGAUGGCAUCCUUGAAGUGAACAGCUUUUCCCAAGUUCACAGAGUAAGACUUCUACUAUCAUGAAACUCUUAUCUUUGAAUAUUUUUUCUUGCUUAUAUCUCUACUAACAAUAGAAGUGGAAAAAGGGUCUGUUAUGUGCACUUAUGGGGUAUACUUUUAUUUGUGAAGAAGUUUGCAGCCAGCCUUAUACAUGGAUAACCUUCUACUUUGAUAGAGAUGAAGGCCCAAUGCAGGUAAGAAACUUUAGUGGUACAUAUGUUGCCCCAUAAUCACUCAAAAACAAAAUAUUGGUUCAUCCCUCUUAACCCACAUCAUGGGUUAAAGAGAACAUUGCCAGGGGGUCUUCACUCUCCUAGAAGGGCAUCAUUUGUUAAGUCCUUUUUCCAUGGCUUAAAGUAAAGGAAGCAAUGAUUAGAAAUGUAUCCCUCAUGAUAGGCUCUAUAGCAAAUCUACUUUAAAGGCUAUCGUUACACAACAGAUUUUAAAUUCUCUUUGAAAGUUAUGCUAAAUAGAAUUGGCUAAACAAAGAAGUUCUUCUGCAGCUGCUGACACUUGCGGCCUAUGGAGAAACAGGUCAAAUGCAGAUUAUAAAAAUUCAGUGUAGGGGAUUAAUGAAAAGACCACUUAGUCAAGUGAGUAGACUCUUCAUCUAGCUCAUUCUUUAAACUAUUUAAGUGUAGGUGGUUUGGUUUCUAGGGACCCUGGUUAAGGAGCAUACUCUGAACUCUGGGUAUUUUCCUUCCAGUAGUGAUAAUAGUAGUCUCCUUGGUGCACUGUAUUCUCUCAAAGGUUUUAAAUGCUUGCAUGCAGCCAUCUCUAGAACAUCAAAUGGUCUCUCUUCGACUGGAAUGACAACAGCUGAAAGAAAUGUUCAACCAUGAGGACACCAUACCUAUAAAUGAUGUGCUGAGACUGGAAACCCAAAAUGUUGGUAACUGAGAAGUGGCACUAAGGCCCUAAGUUUUGGUUGCACACUCACCUAAGUGAGAACCUGACCAAAAAGGGGGGAUUUUUAAAACAAAACUCUGUGAGGCCAUUGUUUUGGACUAAGCUCAUGCACUCAUGCCCUGGGCCCCAACAGACUAAAGCAAACACAGAUGGAGUCAUUUGUGCUAAGACUUUAAGGAAACGCUUGGAUUCCACAACAGACUAGCUUUUGUUUUUUUCUUCUGCAAAUCUCUAUAACAAACAUUUCUGACAACAUAGGUAUCCACCCCCUGAAGUUCCCAUUAAAUCUUUUAACCAAAUUCAUUUCCUCUCACCUAGAGACCAUCAAGCUUCAGAUGAUGAUGCAACAAAGGUUUCAGCCAGUUCCAGGUGAAGACACCACCCUUGGACAUCAAGAAGCUACCCUGCCUCCACUAGAUAGAGCAGGGAGAGUUCUGUGAUCCCCAAUAGGGCCUUUGUAGACGCUAUCCCUUUGUGGAGAAGACUCUCAACACCCUUCAAAUACUAUGAUCUCAUCAGGAAGGCCCUCCCUGACCACCUAUGCCUGGCUGUUGUCUGAACAAUGAAUCCUGGAAGCACCUAGGAGAAGGCACCUAGGAGAAACGUCUUAGGGAGUAGUCCCGCGGGUCCGCCCCAGGACAGUAACGCUGUCAGUUUCCCCGCCCUUUGCACCUGUAGUGCAGACGGUACCAAAUGCGAUGGCUUUGAGACGUCCUCUAGACAUCGGAGCCCAUCAUUUACCACAAAGAACACUGAAGUACUUACUUUAGCAGAACAUUUUCCGAAGAAAAAUUAACAGGGAGAGGAAAUGAAGGACACUAACAAACAGACCCCAUCUCUAGAGUCUGAGAUCAAACCCAAGUCCGAUGGAGCCCGGGCAUCUGGUGGAGGAAAGCGGGCAGGCAUAGCCCCAAUCCUGGUCCUCAACAAGAUAUUUCUGUGAAUGAAUCCCUCUGCUCCCUGGAGGAGGGCACAUUACAUAUCCCUUUCCUAAAUCAGAACUGAAGCAAUUUGCCCAUCAUUCGCACACCUCGACAGGGAAAGGCAGGAUUCCAGUGUCUCAUCAGACCCGGGAAGAGGGGAAGGGUCGCUGGCGCAGUUACCUACUGGGUUUCCGGGAGCUAGGGAAAACGCCCCUGGGAAACGCAAGUGUUCAGCGCCACAUAAAACUUCCCCGGAUUUAGGGCCACCCUAAGACGGGCGAAAAGACUCUCCAGCGCCUUAGCAGGUGCAAAGCCAGCUGUCAGUGUGCGCAUGGCGAGUCCCCGUUCCCGAGAAGGGACGCAAAUGACCCUAGAAAAUCAGACAGGAGCAAAACAAACCCAAGAAUGACCCUCCACACACCACAAAGGCAAAAGCAAACAGAAGGCACCUAGACACACUCUGCAAAGUGUAGAACUGUCUACACUUGCAUGGAGG